RNAcentral lists this ribosomal RNA (375 nucleotides) under uncultured bacterium. RNAcentral's name for it is "bacterial SSU rRNA". It matches the Rfam family "Bacterial small subunit ribosomal RNA", at positions 30 to 412 of the family's 1533-position model. The record is from RNAcentral.
AUUGAACGCUGGCGGCAGGCCUAACACAUGCAAGUCGAGCGCGAAAGUCUUCGGAUGAGUAAAGCGGCGAACGGGUGAGUAAUGCAUGGGAAUCUGCCUGGUAGUGGGGGACAACGUCUCGAAAGGGACGCUAAUACCGCAUACGCCCUACGGGGGAAAGGGGGGAUCUUCGGACCUCUCGCUAUCAGAUGAGCCCAUGUCAGAUUAGCUAGUUGGUGAGGUAAAGGCUCACCAAGGCGACGAUCUGUAACUGGUCUGAGAGGAUGAUCAGUCACACUGGAACUGAGACACGGUCCAGACUCCUACGGGAGCAGCAGUGGGGAAUAUUGCGCAAUGGGCGAAAGCCUGACGCAGCGACGCCGCGUGGGUGAUGAA